GAUGAACGCUGGCGGCGUGCUUAACACAUGCAAGUCGAACGAUGAUCUCCAGCUUGCUGGGGGGAUUAGCGGCGAACGGGUGAGUAACACGUGAGUAACCUGCCCUUAACUCUGGGAUAAGCCUGGGAAACUGGGUCUAAUACCGGAUAUGACUCCUCAUCGCAUGGUGGGGGGUGGAAAGCUUUUUGUGGUUUUGGAUG
RNAcentral lists this ribosomal RNA (200 nucleotides) under uncultured bacterium. Its description in RNAcentral is "partial 16S ribosomal RNA". It matches the Rfam family "Bacterial small subunit ribosomal RNA", at positions 28 to 227 of the family's 1533-position model. The record is from RNAcentral.